GUAGAUAACGACGUCGUCUUUAAUCUUUACCGUCCUCGACGACACGUAACAUCAAAAAACUAGAACUAACUAAGCAAAAAAAUUGAAACUCCUUAGCUGCCUCUCCAAAUAGAAAAUGAAUACCUCACAAUCACUUUGUACUGAGCUUCAUUUAUUAAUCCUUAACGGAAUAUUGAUUUCAUCAUUUGCCCCUUACCUCCAUGGCUAAUUAUUAUAGCAGCAAAAAAUAAUCAGAUUCAGAUAAUCAAUGAAAAAAGGUGGAAAUUGAAAAGGAAAAGGCGAAUGGAAUAUUACCUGAUAAGGAACGAAGUGGAGAGCAAAACUUACCGAGUAAAGCAAAAGAGAGUGCGGGCAAGUGAAAAGGAAAUGCUGUAGGGAAUUUCUUUUACCUAAUGAAGAAAGAGCAAUCAAAAUUUCAAAGGGUCAAAAGAUAUUAAU
This 438-nucleotide long non-coding RNA is filed under the name Olea europaea (common olive). RNAcentral describes it as "long non-coding RNA (OEUR_LNC014573)". The record is from RNAcentral. Lineage: Eukaryota; Viridiplantae; Streptophyta; Magnoliopsida; Lamiales; Oleaceae.